This 157-nucleotide ribosomal RNA is filed under the name Lasiodiplodia theobromae. RNAcentral describes it as "5.8S ribosomal RNA". It matches the Rfam family "5.8S ribosomal RNA". Rfam says of the family: 5.8S ribosomal RNA (5.8S rRNA) is a component of the large subunit of the eukaryotic ribosome. It is transcribed by RNA polymerase I as part of the 45S precursor that also contains 18S and 28S rRNA. The record is from RNAcentral. Lineage: Eukaryota; Fungi; Ascomycota; Dothideomycetes; Botryosphaeriales; Botryosphaeriaceae.
CAACAACGGAUCUCUUGGUUCUGGCAUCGAUGAAGAACGCAGCGAAAUGCGAUAAGUAAUGUGAAUUGCAGAAUUCAGUGAAUCAUCGAAUCUUUGAACGCACAUUGCGCCCCUUGGUAUUCCGGGGGGCAUGCCUGUUCGAGCGUCAUUACAACCC